Molecule: long non-coding RNA, 12347 nt
Filed under: Manihot esculenta (cassava)
Lineage: Eukaryota; Viridiplantae; Streptophyta; Magnoliopsida; Malpighiales; Euphorbiaceae
Description: long non-coding RNA (MESC_LNC008567)
Source: RNAcentral
CUAUUUAUAGGCAUCGAGUACAUAUUUCUACUUGGAUUAGAAGUGCAAGUUAUGACUCUGUUUGGAUUAGAAUAUGUAAGUUAAGUAGGAUUUAUAUUCUGGCUAGUAUUAAGGGUCAUAAUAGGACACUACUAACUAACCCAUUAAUACAUUUAUAAAACUCUUUGUUUGUUUUCGCCUUUUUAUUUUCAACUUAGAAAGAUUUCUUGUUACAAUAUUAAUUUGAGAUCACUAUCAAUGCUAAGAUUCAGAUCAAAUUUAAGAUCACCGAAUCUCGUAGUAAACCUAAUAUACAUCUUGUAUACCUGAUGAUAUCCCAUAUAAUCUCAACAAGCAUUGAUAAAACAUAUUCAUUAAGUAAAACAAAAGUAUGUAAUGUCUCAUUAAAUGUAAACAUCCAUAUAUAGCCCUCAUUAAAUGCUGCAAUCAUAUAGUCAUUAUAUAUAUGCUACAGUGUUUAAAUUCAUAAAAUUACUUAAAAACUUAAGUACAUAAAAAUAUCAUGAAAUAAUUGCGAUCUACAAACUAAAACUCUAGGUAUGACACAAUUCUAAAUCACACAAUUACUUCAUGUCUGUUACAGAAGAUUAGAACUUAAACAAAACUAUACUCAAUUAGCAAUUGUCUGACUCUCAAACCUACAAAUCUAGGGAUUAGGGGAAGGUAGAAGUUGUGGAUAGCCUAAUGAGUAAAAACAUAUAUAUCUAUUUAGUUUAAAGAAUUAGGAUAUUAAUAUGAAUGUAUCAGAAUAUAAACAUUUCACAUUAUGAUGGACUUAUCAUCAAUGACUUUUCAUAUAUCAAUAUACUCGCCUAUUAUGGGUGCUCUUUAAGGACUUUAUCUUACAACAUAAAUAUAAGCCAUAGUGCUAAAAGUAUAAAAUGGACCAACCUGAUCUUUUUCUUAACAUAAUACUAGGGACAUAGAAUGGACCAACCUAGUCUUUCUAUAUACAUAGUCAUGUUUUAUAACAACAUCAUUGAAGGGAUAGCGGGUCAUCCAACAUCCACCUUUCAACUACAAUUACAAAAAAAUACAAUGCAACAUAUUCAUAUUUUCAAUAUACAACCUAUUAUAUAUAAUAAUAUACAUGAUGAAUGAGCAUACUUAAACCAUUUAGUUUUAAUUAAAAUAAGUUUCAUUCUACUCAUCUAUUGAAGACACAAAAACUUCAUCUCAACCUACAACUACCUCACUAUUAUCCUGAACAGUCUCUCAAGUCCGACUUUAUAUAGUAAGGGACCAUAACAUAACUUUUAUAAUUCUAGAACUAUUCUAAGAAACUCCUAAAAGCAUUAAAAAAAAUAUAUAAGAAAAGUACAUAAAGAGGCUGGAUAAGGGACUAUCAGCAAAACAUUUAGUGGCUUAAGUCCUUUGUAAAGAGUAGAAACUUUAAGUUAGGAGGCACCUUAGGCCGCCAAAAGAUGCUCUUAAGAAGUACAAGUUCAGCGGCUAAAGACAAGUUCAGUGACUAAACCUGGAUUUUCAUAAGUGCGAAACUCAAUUCUACAUAAUCUUAUUUUGGCCUAAACUUGACUAAAACCAAAACUUAUCAAUAACCAUCUAACAACUUCCAAGUGACUGCGAUAAUGCAAAAGGACCCACAUACAUCCCAAAACACAUAUAAAAUUGCUUGAACAAAACAUAUCUGCUUAAUACAUAGGCACACACUUUCAUAUCCAUUAACACAUAUAUCAUCAUCAUUAACAACAAGAAUUUAUUGCUCAUUAAAGCUCUAGAAAUCUUUAUCCAUAGACCUAAAACACAUGCAAAGCUUUUUAAAGCUCAAAACAUCCAUCAAACAAUGAGUUUUAAGAAAACUAUAUCUCUCUCUACCCACCCCAAGAGAUAGAUGCAAUACUCUAGAUUCAUACAUUUAAACUUCAAAAAAAUAAAUUUAGAGAAAUAGAAAUUGAGCUUACCUUUUAGGAGAAAACCCCAACUCAAAAAAGAGAAGAGAUAGAAAGCUUCAAUUUCAAAACCUUUGGAUCCAACUAGAAAUCUUCUUAAAAAUAGUAAGGAAUUAAUGAAUCAUUUUUAUUAAAAAUAAAAAAAAAUCUCAAAAAGAGUAAUUUCUUACAUCCUAAUCCUAUAAUGUAAAGCAAUCUCUCCAUUUUCAGACCUAAAACACAUGCAAAGCUUUUUAAAGCUCAAAACAUCCAUCAAACAAUGAGUGUUAAGAAAACUAUAUCUCUCUCUACCCACCCCAAGAGAUAGAUGCAAUACUCUAGAUUCAUACAUUUAAACUUCAAGAAAAUAAAUUUAGAGAAAUAGAAAUUGAGCUUACCUUUUAGGAGAAAACCCCAACUCAAAAAAGAGAAGAGAUAGAAAGCUUCAAUUUCAAAACCUUUGGAUCCAACUAGAAAUCUUCUUAAAAAUAGUAAGGAAUUAAUGAAUCAUUUUUAUUAAAAAUAAAAAAAAAUCUCAAAAAGAGUAAUUUCUUACAUCCUAAUCCUAUAAUGGAAAGCAAUCUCUCCAUUUUCAAUAUGGAGUCCUGUUUGUACCCGUGGCUACCAAACCACAUUCGAUAGCCAAAUGCCCAUGUUCAAUGGUCAAUAUUAUUUUUAUUUCAAACUUCAUUUAUUUUUGAAAAAUAUAUUUAAAAUAUACUAAAAAUUCAUUAAAAAAAAACAUUUUACCCUUGUCUAAGAUCUCUAAACUUGGGAUUCUAAAUUUCAACAAAAAAAUUCAUAAAAAAUUUAAAAUUUAGACAGGUGUUACAUUUCUACUAUAGUGAUAUCACCCAAUGCACUCAAAAUAAUUAGUCUUUUCAUUCUUGAUUACGGUCUAACAUCUUAUUUUUUUGUAUUGAAAAAAUUUUCUAAAGUGCUAUGUCAUUCUCCUUCUCACUAAAACCCCUCCAUCCAUCUUUCUUCUAUUAUAUAGAAAAUUCUUUUUCAACUCCUUCAAUUUUAGUGAACUAUUAAUACCAUUUAGAUAAAUGUUGUAUUUUUUUUAUAUAAAAAAGUAUCAACAAAGGUUUCAUAAGCAGCAAACAAUAUAAUACAACUAAUGCUUUAUUUUCAAUACUAAUAUCAAUGUCAGUAUUUUUCACGUGAUAAUGAUAGAUUUUAAUUCAUCCUGAUGUUCUUUAAAUAGGAGUACCUUUAGUCAUUUUGAUAUUUUACCAUCUUUUUCUUAAAAUAGAGAUAGUUUUUAAUGAUGUUAUUAAAUAUAGCUCCUCUAAUUUCAUUAAUGCCCUAAAUGUUAAUUUCACAAGUAACCUCUCAUAAUAUUAUUGAUGAUGCUAUGAAAAUCAUACUUAAAGCUCAUUCCUUCACAUCUACCUCAUCAACCUUCUUCAUAUCUUGUGUAAAUUAUUCUUAAGUUCUUUUCAUAAACUUUGUAAAAUCAAGGAACAUUUAUUUUAAUCUUCCACAUAUUAAAUCUCAAUCCAACAUCAAACUUCUCUACCUUAUACCUCUUUGAAGAUGGUGCCAUCUGUAAGACCUAGAUCACAUAUUCUCACAAGGUUCUGACACUAGUUUAUUAUGGUAGCCACACACAAUAACACAAUUCAAAUCUAGAGAGAAAGAAAAAGUGGGGUAUAAGAUUUACAUGAUACAAUUAUAAGGUCUACAUUCACAAAUAUAAUUUGAGAUGAAAAUUUCAUUAUGGUAAAAAGAUAAGAUUCAAUUUCUCAAAACUCAAACCCUUUUCACGAUGUGUUUCUCAUAUUUCUCACAAUACCACACAAUUUGAAGGAAAGUGCAAUAUUUAUUCUCGAGUUUGUGUCCUUUAUUUUCAUCAUAUAUAAACCUCAAAAAAUAUUUAUAUCGUAAUAUGAAACUUUCAAAUUAGUUCACAAUUUGAGUCGAUAAAAUUAUAUUUAAUUUUAAGCCAUAUAGAUAAUAUAAGUAAAUAUAUUUUAAAUAGAAAUCAGAAUGGCUCACCCAAAUAAAUUAACCUAAUUUUAUGUCAUUAAAGAACAUAUUCAUACGAAGGAACAUAACUUAUUAUGAGUAGGAAGUGUAAUUAAAAUAAGAACUUUAAAUAGUUUAAGCUUAAUAUAAUAUCAUUUUUUAGCUUGAAGCUCAAUUUGAACUUUAUUAUUCAAGCUCUAGGUGUACUUGUUAUAAAUAUAUUAAACUUGAAAUCAAUUCGAACUCAAUUUAUAAUAAGUUUGUCAAUAUUGUUCACAAACUAAGUUUAAAAUCAACUUAUAUGAAAUCUUGAUACUUAAUUAUUUUAAGUUGUAAUUUAAUUAAAAUUAAAAAUUUAAAAAUAAUAUAACUCUUGGGAUUCGUGAGGUCCCACGAUAUUACUAAGUCAUGCCGAUAAAACAUCUAAAGGGGAAGGAGGUCUUCCCUAUAGGGUGGGUUAUAUAUAUAUAUAUAUAUAUAUAUAUAUAUAUAUAUAUAUAUAUGAGUUUAUCAUAAUUUAAAAAAUAUAUAUCGUACCAAAAUUUGACACUUAAUAUUGAAGGAUCAACAGAUAGCACGAGAGAUAGAUAUAUAAUAAUAGUUAUAAUUACAUAGUUUAAUAUUUUUUUGUAUGAAGCUAGUUACGUAAUUUAAUAUACUUUAAUCUUUUAAGUAUUUAGAAUUAAUUAAUGAAAAAAAUAGUCAAAAUUUAAAAAUUAAGGGAGAUAGAUAACAACAUAUAUUAAAAAUAAGAGAGCAUUUAUUAGUUAAUAUUACUUAUUUCAUGUUUGAAAUAGUAUUUUUAUCUAUUAUUAACUAUUUUAUAUUAAUAACAUAUUUAUAAUCUAAUGUAAUAAAUUUAUUUCCCAUGUAGAAAUAGCAUUAACUUGAUAUUUCUUUUAUUACAAAGUUAAAUUUAAAUUAUUAAACAAUUAUAUUUCUACAUAUAUUCUUACAACUAUUAAAUAUAAUAUAAUUUAAUAUUAUAUUAUAUUUAGAAACAUCAAAUUUAAAAUAAAUAUAACUACAAAUUUAUAAAAUAAAUUAUUAAUAUAAAUAUUUGUAAAAAUUAUAAAUAAUUGAACUCAUGAAUAAUUUAAUAAUUUUAUAAUGAGUAUAUUAUUGAAUUUAUUGACGACUAUUAUAAAUGAGCUUGUUCACAAGACUAAUCAAUAAACCUACUUGCAAACUUAUGAAUUUGAAAAAAACUUAAACUUAUAAAUCUUAAUGAGCUUAAUAUUGUUGAACUCUCGAGUUCGGCUCAUUUUGAAAACAAGCUAAGCUUAAUUAAACUUUUAUUUAGUCAAACUUUGAAUAGUUUAGGAAUAUUUUAGUUUAUAUUUAUACCCUAACUAUGAGUGUAUACAAAUGAAGCCCAUUUAUUUGUUUUUCAAUUUAAUGAGACAGACAUAUAUAAACAAAAGUAGUGCAAGUGUAUAAUUUUUUUUAUUAAGAAAAAGAACAAAAAAUCUUGCAAAAAAGUAUUAUGUAUUGGAUGCAUUCUUAGAUUUGAUCUUGAUAACUCUCAUCACAAGGGAAUUUUUAAUUUUAUAAAAGAUGUCGAGGUGCACAAAAUGACUUUCUCUUUUUAAAAAAGAAAUUAUUUUUCUUAAAAUGACUUAUUUUUCUCUUUAAUCAGGAAAAUAUGUUCUAUUCACUAAAUUUUUUAAAUGUCUUAAAGAUAAAAAAAUAUUAAAAAAUAUUUUCUAUGCAAUAAACGGACAAUAGUGAAUUAAUGUAUGGAAUGUAUUAUAAUAUUUUCUAUGAAAUAAAUGAAGCAAUCGUGAAUUAAUGUAUGGAAUGUAUUAUAAAAAUUUGAUUAUACGGUACACUAAUGUUAUUAAUAUUAAUAUCCAAAGAGUCUAUGCAUGACAUGAGUUAAAAGAGCAUGUAUUUGAGUUUAUAUGUUGAUUUUAUGAUUUUUUUUAAAAUUUUAAUGAUAAUUAAUUUGAGAUAUUUAAUUUGAUUAUUUAUAUUAAUUAUAUCUUUUAAAAUUAAGUAAUAUAUUUUAUUUCAUAAAUAUUUUUAAUAAUAUUUCAUUGUUAUGUAACUAUUAGUACAAAUUUUAUUGUAUGUAUAGUUAUAUUGUUAAAGAUUAUUUAAAUAAAAUAUUUUUAUGAUAAAGAAAUUAUGAAACUUUAUUUUAUAUUAAUUUUUCACAAUUUAACUAUGCAUAAUACUUAUAUAUUUUAGUGAAAGUUAAAAAUAUAAUUUUAUUUCUAUAAUUAUUUUCCCGAAAGCUUAGUUUUAAAAAAGUCAUUCAGGCAACAUUUACUCAUAGGAAACUCAUAUUAUAGUUUUUUGAUAAAAGUUUUUAGAAUAUUUUUUAAAAAGAAAUUGAAAAAUUAAGUUUAUUUUUUAAUGUGUUGGUUUUUCUAAAUGAAGAAUUAAAAAAUUAAUUUUCUAGUUUUUUAAAAUUUAGAUAGGAUUUGAAUUAUCAUAAUGGGAUUUUUUUUUAAAUGAGAAAUAGUUCGCUUUUCUAUAAAGAAUCAUAUCACAAUAUUUUCAUAACUAAAAUUACAUAGUUAUUUAUUAAUUAUAUUAUUUUAAAAUAAAUCAAUACGAUGUAUAUAGCGAUUAUUUAGAAAUUAUAAGGGCAAAAUACUAACUAUUUCAAAGUAACAUGUACGAUAAUAAAUAUUAAAAUUAAUAAAAAAAUUUUUUAACAAUAUUAAUUUUGCUACUAUACUAAUUAAUAUAUAAUAGCAAUAUUAAUAAUUACUUGCUAAUAAUAUAUAAAAAGAUAUAGUAAUAACAAAAUUUGUGAGCAUUUAGUAAAAAGUUGUUUUCAGUAAUAUUUUAUUAUUACUAAUAAUUAUUUUUAAGUAACAACUAUAAUUUUAUUAUAAAUUAUCUAUGAUGAUCAUUUUUUAUAAUAAUAACAUGCAGUAAUCAUAUAUUAUGUUAUAAAUUUAUAACAGCAAACUUUAUAUUUCUUUUUUAAAAAAAAUAUUUCAAUUGAUUUUAGUAGUUUUUUAAGUGAUGGACUAAAUAAUUAUUUUUAUAUAAAGAGACUAGGAAUUAUUUUUACCAAAACAUAUGAACUAAAAAGGUAAUUUUCUUAUAUUAAACUUAAAUUAGAAUCAAAAUGCAAGCGGCUAUUCCAAUAACUAAAUAAUUCAUGUGACAAACUACAUUUUGUUGAUAUAUGAAGUUUAAUGUUAUAUUAUACACGGUACACAAUACUCCACAAUCAUGAAGGACUAUUUUAUAUUUUUUAUAUUUUUUCUAGACAUAUAAAUAUAUAAUAUAUAAUAUUUUUUUAGUGUAUUCUGUUAAAAAAUUCACAGAGAAAUAUAAAAAUACUAGUAUUCAUGAACAUAAUCAAAUUGAUAAAUCACAUUAAAUUUAUGUAUUGUUUACUUUUAUGCUUUUUUUUUUUGGAUUGUUUGAUGGUUUGAUAUUGACACAUUUGAAUUCAAGUUUUUGAAACUUAAUAUAUACUUGUGUUUUUAAUAUAAAUGAUUUUAAUGAAUUUUAAAUUUAGAUUUUUUUAAUAAGUAAAUAUAUUAUAUUAAUAGAAAUUGAGAAAUUUUUGACAUCUAGAUUGACAUAUACUAAGCGAAUCAAGAGAGUUAAAUUUUAAAAGUUUCAUCAAACUUGUUGAUUUGGGUAUAUUGUAGGUUAUAUUUUACAAGAGAAUCAAUCGAGUUUUCUUCAUUGAAGCAAUUCCAAAGGCUCCAUCAGGAAAAAUCUUGAGAAAAGAUUUAAGAGUGAGACUUAUUGCCGGUGUUCCCAACUAGAAUCAAAGUAUAUAGUAAUAUUAUUUGUUACUAAAUCAUUAUAUUUUUUUUAUUGACUAGUGAAUUUUAAUGCUUUUUAGUGAUUAUAAAUAUGUUGUUGCUCUUCAAAAGCAAAAAAGAAAAAAAAAGUUCAGACUUUGUAAUUUGUAAUUAUUUUAUAUAUUUUUUUUUAGAAAUUUAACUUUUACUUUUAAAGAGGUGUUGGACAAAGGUGGAACUCUUGUAUUUAAGUUUGGAAUAUAAUAUGACUAACUGGAUAAAAAAAGCCAUAUCUUUUUAUAAGUUGAUGGUUUAUAUUGAAAAUUUAAAUUUUGGAAUAAUUAUAAAUAAAAUCUAAUUUAUAGCAACAAAAUGUAGAGUUUUAGAGUGUGGAAUUAUUAUUUAAAUUUAUUUUGUUGUUCAAACAAAUUGGUGAUGACUAUAAUUUUUUUUUUUAUAUUAAUAAAAUCCAAAUGUCUUCAAAUUAAAAUUUUUCAAACACAAAAGUUUGUGCUGCGGUAUUAAUAAAAAACUUUACCACGAGUGCUAAAAGCAUAUUUAGAAAGGACGACUGAUACAUAAAUAUUUAAAAAAAUUAUAAAUAUUUAAAAAAAAUUAUAAGAUGCAAAUGCAAUGUUUGUGACUUUUUUGACCUUCCAACCCUUUUCUGAUUUAAAUAUUGUUUUAAUUGUAACUUUUUUCUUAAGAGAAAUGAAUUAUUUACGUUGAAAGCAAUUAAAUUCCCAACAAAUAAUCAAAUGAUAAUAAUUAACCGAUAAACUAAACUUUAAAAAAAUCAAAUUUAAAAAUAAAAUUUGAUAAUAAUUACCUUAAAUUUGUCUUGCAUUUCCAUAUUAAAUAUUGGUUGACUACUAACUUCAGUGGUAUAAGAUAUGUUUGAAAAUGCACCAUCGUUGAUAGAAGUGGAUGAAGAAGCUCUUGCAACGUAACUCAUCACAAAUAAAAAAAGAUUUGUCACAAAAUUUUAUAAAUUAUGGUGAAUUAUGAUUAUAAACUUUUUAUACAUUUCAAGAAAUAUACUUUUUAACGAUAAAAAAAUAACGAUUAAUUUAAUUUUUCCUCAUUAAUGAUAUAUAUAUGAAGAUCAAUAUUGUAAUUGGUUGUUGUUAUGUUAAAUUUUAACGACCAUUAUAAAAUAUUUUCAUUAAAAAUGAGAGUGUUAGUCAAAGUGCAAGUGUACAUUUUUUUCUCUAAAUCCCACGUCAAAAAAAUAAGGGAUGAGAUAUCACUUAAAGCACUAUAAAUUAACAGACAAUAUGACUUAGAAAACAUGUAAACUCAUGAUAAAUACAAAUUGAACUUUUUUUUAUUAUAAAUUUUAUGUACUCAAUUAUUAUCAAUAUCUAUAUACUUUUAAUUAUUAUCACUAUUUUAAAAUUAUUAUAUUUAAACAUUGUCGUUAUUAAAUUUUUAUGACCAUAUUAAUUAUUAUUAACAAAAGAUAAAUAUGUUAUUGUUGUUAUAGGUUUAACGACAUAUUAAAGUGUUGUUGUAAUUAGCAUUAAUAAUGACGCCUUAAUGACUUAAUAAAAUGAUUGUUAAUAAUUUUGAACGACCAACUUUUAAUAUUUAAUGAUAAAAUUUUCUCUCAUUAAGAAAUAUUUUUCCUGUAGUGUUUGAUCUAUAAAAUAAAUUUUGUAUCGAGGAUCUAGUAUCACAACCAUAACUAAAGACAAGCUAAAUUUAGACCAAUAUUACUUAAAAUCAUCAUCAAAUCAGCCAUCCUUCUAAUGUACUCAUCCUAUCAAAUCAUAAUUUUUUUUUCAAUAUCAAAUAUGCCAUGAAAAUGGAAAGAAAGUACAAGUUAGCAGUAGGAUACUUAGUGCUCGAAGAAAACUCAAGUAAUGUUGUAAAACACAAUCAAGAACAUAAUUAAUUUUUUGAAAUUUUCUUACUCAUUUGAAUAUAAAAAGCCCUUGUAAUUAGAGCAAGCUAACUCUAAGUGAUAAAAAGUACAAUAAUGAAAAAUAACACUCUCAAGCAUAAGAAAAAUUCGAGUUUCAUCUAGUGGGGAUAUCUUGCCUCAAGCCUUUUUUGUGUUGAAUGAAAAAAAUUUCACAUGUUAAAAAUUUUUAUUCUCUUAUACAUUUUUGACAUAUUUAAUACUCCUAAUAUUGACAAUACAAUUUUUUUUAAAGUUAUCUUGAAGUAUAAAAUUCAAUAUAUGAGCCUAACAUCUCAAAUGAAAGAACUUAUCUCCAUAAAUAAAUGUUUUUUUUGUAUUGUAGAAACAUUGUUUACUAUGCAUAUGGAAUAAAAAAUUUGUAAUAGUUUGUAUAGUUAGCACAAACUAAUAAAUAACUUAAAUUAAAUAUUUGGUUUUAUUUUAACAAUUGCAUCCAAUAUAGUACAAUAACAUUGCAAUGAGGAUAUCACAAAAUUCAAUGAGAGAAGGCGUGAUAUCCCAUCCCUCAUUGGUGGGAGAAAAAGAUUAUAAUAGGUUUAUACAUGAUUGUUAGACUUGGACCGACUCCAGCAGUUGGACCGUGAUAUCUACGAACCAGUCUGAUUUACAAAUCGAUUCAUUCUUAACAACCGAUAAAGAUUAAAACCGAACAAAACCCGUUGGACCGGCUGACUACUCGGUGACCCGUGUUAGCGGAGUGAGUUUGUCAGUUUGAAUGGGUUUGAUUUAAUUUUUUCCAUCAAGCAAGUGAUGUUAUUUUGCUUUAAUUUUCUUCAUUUGCUCAACUUUGAUACACAACAAAUAUAAUUUUGGCUCUCAACAACAGUUAAGGUAGCUUCCUCUCCUUUCUCUCCCUCUCUCCCUCCCUUUCUCUCUCUGGAGCCCUCCCUCCCCUUCCCUCCCUCCUUGAAUCUUCAAGUUGUAAAUCACAUGUGUAUACAAAUUAGCUUUUAAUUUUGUAUAGAUUAGGUUUUUCAUUUUUAAUUUUGUUAUGAGAAUUUUGUGCUUUUAAUUAGGUUAUUAAAUGGGCUUUUUUGGAUAUGAAUUUGGAUUUAAUUUGUACUUUUAGUGUUUUAUAAAUUUGUGUUGAAUUUGUGCAUUUAUUUAUUUAUUACUUAAUAUUUUUGUUAGAUACCAUUGAUGAAAAUGAUUCAUAAUUGAAGAAUUUUGAGAACAUCGAAUUAUUUGAUGCAAUUAAUUCUUUUGAAAUAUUGUUGGUGGAAGUAAUUCUAUAGAAAGUGAUGGUCUGAUGAUUUUGGUGGAUGAAGGUAUAAUAGAGAUAAUAAUGACCAGUUCAAAAAAAAAAAAUAGAGAUAAUAAUGAAGAUGAGGAUGAAACUCAACUAUGAAUGAUAUUGUAUUUUUUCUUUGAUUUUUUAAGAAUAUAUUAUAUUUUGGCUACUUAUUAUGAGUUUAGUUUAGUGAACAAUUAUGUUCUGUUUAAUAUUUUAAUUAAUUUUACUAUAAACAUUAUUUAUAGAUAUUUAUAUUAAAUAUGGGAUUUGUAUUAGAAUAGUAAUAUUACUAUAUAGGAUUUUAUAUUGUGCUCUAGUUCACUCUCAGUCCACCCGUAAUGAAUUUUAAACCCUUGACCUUUUACUUUUAUCCGUUCUUAGGUCGGUUUAGGUUUGAAAACCAUAGAUUCACAUAGCUAGCUUAAAAACAUUUAAAUAACUUGAAUUAAUUAUUUUGGAUCAAGUGAAAAAAAAGUAUAAUGACUCGAAAAUCGGACUGCUAACGACACUAAGGUUUAGAUUGACUGAAGGUUGUCGGAGCUCCUAGCAAGCCUUCUAAUCGUUCUGUUACAUCUGAUAUAACCCCAACAUAAUCUUAAAACAUACAUAAAAUACUUUCAUCUCAUGAACUAAAACUCGACAUGUGCAUACAUAUAUAACUGAAAACAUAAACCUAUACUAGAGCUCUCAUCAAAUGCUCCAGUAUAGUUAUCAUUACAUGUCUCAGUUUGAUUCAAAUAUAACUUAAACUUAAAACUUUUAUAUAAUAAGAUCAUUAAUAAGAGGAUCAUAAAAGAAAAACUGGGAAAAACAAAAUUCUAAACCAUAAACAUUAUAUGUCUACAACUAAACUAUUAUAUAAAGGGCUAUACCAAAGAACAUUGUUGACUUCUCGAGCUAACUCUAGUCCUACAAACCUGGGGUUAGGAGAAAAGGGAUAAACUACUAGAGCCUAGUGAGCAGAAAUGUAACAUAAAAUAGUUUGAUAAAAUAUAUGCUCAGAUGAAUGAAUCAUAACACAAAUAAUUCACAUCAAGAUGGAGUUAUUACUAAUAACCCUCAAUAAUUCCAAUAAUGUACGACCCACAAUGGGUGCUCCUUAGGAUUUCCACUUAAAUAUAACAUAAUUAUAGUGUCAAAGGCGUAGAAUAGGCACCUUGAUCUUUCUCUUACAGAAUGCUAAGCACAUAGAAUGGGUCUCGACCUAGACUUCCAUAUCCAUUAUACAUAACAUGUCAUAUCAUGUUCGAGGGUUAGUGAGUUAUCUAACAUCCAUACAUAACAACAAUUAGAUAUGCAAUGCAUCAUAUUUGUGAAUCUAAUACAGAAUAACCUAUUCAGAUGUACAUGGAAUUCAUGAUGCAUAGGCAUGCUUAAAACAUUUGAUUUCAUAAAAUAAGAGUUUAGUUUAGUUUAGUUCUCUUCACCUCUGAUGGACAUCGGCCUCUCUCUGAAACAGUUAUCUCACUGCUGGUCUCUACGGUCUCCUAAAUCUAAUUUUACACAGACGGACUUAAAUAAGGAACUAAACAUAACUUUUAUAACUCUUAAAACUACUUCAAGAAACUCCAAAAAGCAUACAAGAAAAUACGUAAAAAAAG